This 71-nucleotide transfer RNA is filed under the name Camelus bactrianus (Bactrian camel). It matches the Rfam family "tRNA". From Rfam's summary of the family: Transfer RNA (tRNA) molecules are approximately 80 nucleotides in length. Their secondary structure includes four short double-helical elements and three loops (D, anti-codon, and T loops). Further hydrogen bonds mediate the characteristic L-shaped molecular structure. tRNAs have two regions of fundamental functional importance: the anti-codon, which is responsible for specific mRNA codon recognition, and the 3' end, to which the tRNAs corresponding amino acid is attached (by aminoacyl-tRNA synthetases). tRNAs cope with the degeneracy of the genetic code in two manners: having more than one tRNA (with a specific anti-codon) for a particular amino acid; and 'wobble' base-pairing, i.e. permitting non-standard base-pairing at the 3rd anti-codon position. Lineage: Eukaryota; Metazoa; Chordata; Mammalia; Artiodactyla; Camelidae. The record is from Rfam by way of RNAcentral. RNAcentral also lists the same sequence under 1 other name.
GAGGGCGUAACUCAGUGGUAGAGUGUGUACCUAGCAUGCAUGAGUCCUGGGUUCAAUCCCUUGUACCUCCA